CAAAAAAUGGGCCAAAACGCAACAAAAUUAACUAAGUAUGGAUUGAAGAAUAGAGGUUUGAAGUUCAAUCUUUCAUGAGAAUCUUCUUCAAUGUUGAGGACAAGGUUCAACGACUUUUUCCACUUUCGGAAUUUUUUUUUUUCUGGACCUGUAAUUUUUAUCGGAGCAAACAUUAUAACCAGUUGAAUACAAAACUACUCCCAACUCAUUUUUUCCAAAAUAAGACCGUGCAAUCAGACGGUUGCGUUCAUUUGGCAUGGACUAUGCCUGUAAUAAUUGCUCGCCGCUAAUGCGUCGCAUCAUUCAGUGAAUUGGUGUGACUUAUGUCCUGCCUCAUCUGUAAUUAUUAUCCAUGUUGCGUGGCGUGGUAGUCGCACAGGUACAGAGCAUUGUUACCAACCCCACCCAACCUCAACGACUUAAAAUUCCGAACGCAGGAUGCGCAUUUUAGCACUCAAUUCACGAUUUCCCAGACUCGCAGUGUAAAUUUCGCUGAUGAGCAAUCUCCGAUCAUGCCCCGACAACACUCGCGAAAACCGGAGUGAUGAGAGUUGGAACCCAAGUUUCCUUCCCGGCGCGGCGGAGAGAAAAGAUUGUGCCUAUUGUCACUUGUUUUGACAGUUGCGGGUCGUGCGCACAGUUCACAUCCGCUAAGUCGAGUGUUUUAAAAAAGUCGAAUUAAGCGUGACAAAGUAAUUAUUACAAACGGGCUGAUUUUUGCGUGGGCGUUACCCGUAUAGCUCUGAUGGAGAGUACAUUGACUUAUGGGACCGCUUGGUGGGGAGUAUAAAGCCGUCAAUGUCGCAAAAUUCCAGCCAAUCUGAUUUCAGCUCGCCAGUUUCAUUUCAUUCUUCGGCCGAUGACUGCGUCACAAAAUCCGCAGGACGAGUUUCUCGGAGUCGCCACUGCCAAAUUUGCGACACGCACAAUAAAACAUGCAAAAUAUACGACAUGUUUGCUAGGAAGAACGGCAGCUGUGAAUACGGGUGGAGGAGGUGUCUUGAUUUGUGCGGAAUUUGAUUUUAGAUCCUGAAUGAUCAUUGACAUGGGUGCCGAAUUGGAAGACGUGUGCAUAUUCAAUCUAAUGCUUACGAUAUUUCCUACCGAAAGAAUGUGCCUAGGUUUUCUUUUUUCGUUCGUAAAAUAUACAUAUUUCAGUGGGUGCUA
Bemisia tabaci is the source of this 1167-nucleotide non-coding RNA. Lineage: Eukaryota; Metazoa; Arthropoda; Insecta; Hemiptera; Aleyrodidae. The record is from RefSeq and is a predicted model, not a curated record.